UCUGCGAUAGUUUAGUGGUAGAAUACCUGUCGGUCUCACAGGUGGCGGAGGUUCAAUUCCUUCUCGCAGAG
This is a non-coding RNA of Cladophialophora chaetospira, 71 nucleotides long. The record is from the annotation of a GenBank genome assembly. NCBI's taxonomy places the organism in Eukaryota, Fungi, Ascomycota, Eurotiomycetes, Chaetothyriales, Herpotrichiellaceae.